GGGUUGUCAUGACCUCUGUGCCGCCGCUAACGCAUUAAGUAUUCCGCUUGGGGAGUACGGUCGCAAGAUUAAAACUCAAAGGAAUUGACGGGGGCCCGCACAAGUAGCGGAGCAUGUGGUUUAAUUCGAAGCAACGCGAAGAACCUUACCUAGACUUGACAUCUCCUGAAUUACCAUGUAAUGUGGGAAGUCCUUUCGGGGACAGGAAGACAGGUGGUGCAUGGUUGUCGUCAGCUCGUGUCGUGAGAUGUUGGGUUAAGUCCCGCAACGAGCGCAACCCUUAUUGUUAGUUGCUACCAUUUAGUUGAGCACUCUAGCGAGACUGCCCGGGUUAACCGGGAGGAAGGUGGGGAUGACGUCAAAUCAUCAUGCCCCUUAUGUCUAGGGCUACACACGUGCUACAAUGGCCGGUACAACGAGAUGCAAUACCGUGAGGUGGAGCAAAACUAUAAAACCGGUCUCAGUUCGGAUUGUAGGCUGAAACUCGCCUACAUGAAGCUGGAGUUACUAGUAAUCGCGAAUCAGAAUGUCGCGGUGAAUACGUUCCCGGGCCUUGUACACACCGCCCGUCACACCAUGAGAGUUGGCAAUACCCAAAGUUGGUGAUCUAACCCGUAAGGGAGGAAGCCACCUAAGGUAGGGUCAGCG
Molecule: ribosomal RNA, 648 nt
Filed under: uncultured organism
Description: SSU rRNA
Rfam family: Bacterial small subunit ribosomal RNA
Source: RNAcentral